Non-coding RNA from Benincasa hispida (wax gourd), 1267 nucleotides. NCBI's taxonomy places the organism in Eukaryota, Viridiplantae, Streptophyta, Magnoliopsida, Cucurbitales, Cucurbitaceae. The record is from RefSeq and is a predicted model, not a curated record.
AAAAACCCUAAGCUAAGUCCCUUACUUUGACUCUUAGCACCUCCAUCUCCCUCAGCCUCACGGAGUCACGAUUUACCCUCACUGGACUCCUCGUCGCCACUCCAAUCAUGCACGACAGAAACCCAAAUCACGUACGUCAGGAUUCUCCUCGCCACCACUCCACCAGCGUCGUCUGCCACCGUCUGCCACCAGCACCUCUCCCUCCAGCCGGAAUCUUUGGUUCCCAAUUUCGUUCACUUUCAGUUCCAACCGCCGUCUGAUCUAUUUGAUUGUCAGAUCUAUUCACAAUUUUGGUGAUUUCGCUCACUCACACCCUCAAAUCUAUUAGUUCUCAAUUCCUUCACUUCAAGCCCAGUUGUCAUCGUCUUCUUCUAUCUAAGGUGAAAAUGACUUUAUCGAAUAAUAAUGAGUUAGAACAAGGCGGUUCAACUCCAAUAUCUAUGAACAUGAGUGAAUCAACCCCAAUGAAUAGUGUUUCAAGUGAUAAUAAUCAAUAUGCACUUAUAGCAUUCGAUAGUGAUGAUAAUGAGGAUUUUCCAAAACGUAAUAGGUUGACAUCGGUAGUAUGAAACCAUUAUAAAAGACAAAAAAUAAAUGAUACCAUGAAAGCAAUAUGCAAUUAUUGUGGAAAAAAGUUGGGAGGAGAAUCUAAAAAUGGGACAAAACAUUUCCAUGAUCAUUUCAAAAUUUGUCCCUUACGAAGACAAAGAGAUAUUAGGCAAUCAUGUUUGAGACCCACUAAAAUCAAUGAGGGGAAAAUAGUGCUAAGCCCAACUCUUUUUUAUUACGAAGCUUCUCAAAGAGACCUUUCUUGUGCUAUAAUUUCACAUGAAUAUCCUAUAAACAUGGUUGAACACAAAGGAUUUAGAAAGUUUUUGAGUGGUGUUCAACCGAUGUUUAAGAUGAUUUCAAGAACCACGAUAAGGAGAGAUAUAAUAAAAAUUUAUGAAGAAGAGAGAAUUAAAACAAUGAAGUUUAUGAAAAACAAUAGAAGCAUGGUUGCCCUUACUAGAGACGUGGACUGCAACUAGCCAGACGAAGGGAUACAUGGCAAUCACUGCUCAUUUUAUUGAUGAUUCUUAGAUCCUACAAAGCAGAAUUUUGACGUAUUUUAGAUCUUUUAUAUUAUUAUUUAUUUUUUAUUUGGUUUCACAUGUAGUUUACAUUUUAACACAUUAUUACAUAAUACUAGGUUUGUACAUGUGUCACAUCCACAUACUGGACAGUUACUUUCUGAAGCAUUAAUGGAGUGUAUAUUCGAUUGGAA